RNAcentral lists this transfer RNA (58 nucleotides) under Zea mays. It matches the Rfam family "tRNA", at positions 8 to 63 of the family's 71-position model. Rfam says of the family: Transfer RNA (tRNA) molecules are approximately 80 nucleotides in length. Their secondary structure includes four short double-helical elements and three loops (D, anti-codon, and T loops). Further hydrogen bonds mediate the characteristic L-shaped molecular structure. tRNAs have two regions of fundamental functional importance: the anti-codon, which is responsible for specific mRNA codon recognition, and the 3' end, to which the tRNAs corresponding amino acid is attached (by aminoacyl-tRNA synthetases). tRNAs cope with the degeneracy of the genetic code in two manners: having more than one tRNA (with a specific anti-codon) for a particular amino acid; and 'wobble' base-pairing, i.e. permitting non-standard base-pairing at the 3rd anti-codon position. The record is from Rfam by way of RNAcentral. Lineage: Eukaryota; Viridiplantae; Streptophyta; Magnoliopsida; Poales; Poaceae.
UAGCUCAGUUGGCAGAGCGCAAGGCUCUUAACUUUAAGGUUGUGGGUUCGAGCCCCAC